RNAcentral lists this long non-coding RNA (385 nucleotides) under Ursus maritimus (polar bear). RNAcentral describes it as "lncRNA (ENSUMAG00000019197.1)". Lineage: Eukaryota; Metazoa; Chordata; Mammalia; Carnivora; Ursidae. The record is from RNAcentral.
CACGGCAUCGCAUGUCCGGCCAGUGCACGCCUGCAGCCGUGUCCCAUUCCAGGCAAACCUUCGUGCACGUACAUGGCUUUCCACGGCCAGCUGUCCACGCGUGGGCAGUGGGAUGUGAAACCAGAAAGUGCCGGAAACCAGAGGCUGUGUCCCCUGAGCUGGGCCAGAGGAUUCGGGACUUCCCCCAGCAGGCCGUCCCGCUGCAGCGGGAGAUGAAGAUGUUUCUGGCCUUCCUUGGCUGUCCUUAUUUGCACAUCUUUAUAAAACCUGCCUGUUGGGAUAACGUGACACGGAAGAGAGUUAAUAAAGACGAAGAUUUCCGAAACAAAUUUAACUGAUUUGAAAAAUAAUUACACAAAUAAAUCUGAUCCUCUGACCUUGAACA